Molecule: ribosomal RNA, 253 nt
Filed under: uncultured bacterium
Lineage: Bacteria
Description: partial 16S ribosomal RNA
Rfam family: Bacterial small subunit ribosomal RNA
Source: RNAcentral
GACGAACCGUGCGAACGUUGUUCGGAAUCACUGGGCUUAAAGGGCGCGUAGGCGGCCCGCCGCGUCCGGGGUGAAAUCCUCCCGCUCAACGGGAGGACGGCCUCGGAUACGGGCGGGCUGGAGGGGGGUAGGGGCAGGCGGAACUGUGGGUGGAGCGGUGAAAUGCGUUGAGAUCCACAGGAACUCCGGUGGCGAAGGCGGCUCACUGGACCGGCAUUGACGCUGAGGUGCGAAAGCGUGGGGAGCAAACAGG